Molecule: non-coding RNA, 23 nt
Filed under: Rattus norvegicus (Norway rat)
Lineage: Eukaryota; Metazoa; Chordata; Mammalia; Rodentia; Muridae
Source: RNAcentral
UAACACUUCAAAGGUAUCGAGGA